RNAcentral lists this ribosomal RNA (496 nucleotides) under uncultured bacterium. RNAcentral describes it as "partial 16S ribosomal RNA". It matches the Rfam family "Bacterial small subunit ribosomal RNA", at positions 28 to 507 of the family's 1533-position model. The record is from RNAcentral.
GAUGAACGCUGGCGGCGUGCCUAAUACAUGCAAGUCGAGCGAACAGACGAGGAGCUUGCUCCUCUGACGUUAGCGGCGGACGGGUGAGUAACACGUGGAUAACCUACCUAUAAGACUGGGAUAACUUCGGGAAACCGGAGCUAAUACCGGAUAAUAUAUUGAACCGCAUGGUUCAAUAGUGAAAGACGGUUUUGCUGUCACUAUUGAUGGAUCCGCGCCGCAUUAGCUAGUUGGUAAGGUAACGGCUUACCAAGGCAACGAUGCGUAGCCGACCUGAGAGGGUGAUCGGCCACACUGGAACUGAGACACGGUCCAGACUCCUACGGGAGGCAGCAGUAGGGAAUCUUCCGCAAAGGGCGAAAGCCUGACGGAGCAACGCCGCGUGAGUGAUGAAGGUCUUCGGAUCGUAAAACUCUGUUAUUAGGGAAGAACAAAUGUGUAAGUAACUAUGCACGUCUUGACGGUACCUAAUCAGAAAGCCACGGCUAACUACGUG